RNAcentral lists this ribosomal RNA (432 nucleotides) under uncultured bacterium. Its description in RNAcentral is "partial 16S ribosomal RNA". It matches the Rfam family "Bacterial small subunit ribosomal RNA", at positions 29 to 507 of the family's 1533-position model. The record is from RNAcentral.
AGCGAACGCUGGCGGCAGGCUUAACACAUGCAAGUCGAGCGGGCACUUCGGUGUCAGCGGCAGACGGGUGAGUAACACGUGGGAACGUACCCUUUGGUUCGGAAUAACGCUGGGAAACUAGCGCUAAUACCGGAUACGCCCUUUUGGGGAAAGGCUUGCUGCCGAAGGAUCGGCCCGCGUCUGAUUAGCUAGUUGGUGGGGUAAUGGCCUACCAAGGCGACGAUCAGUAGCUGGUCUGAGAGGAUGAUCAGCCACACUGGGACUGAGACACGGCCCAGACUCCUACGGGAGGCAGCAGUGGGGAAUAUUGGACAAUGGGCGCAAGCCUGAUCCAGCCAUGCCGCGUGAGUGAUGAAGGCCUUAGGGUUGUAAAGCUCUUUUGUCCGGGACGAUAAUGAGGUACCGGAAGAAUAAGCCCCGGCUAACUUCGUG